RNAcentral lists this transfer RNA (71 nucleotides) under Pristella maxillaris. RNAcentral describes it as "tRNA-Trp". It matches the Rfam family "tRNA". From Rfam's summary of the family: Transfer RNA (tRNA) molecules are approximately 80 nucleotides in length. Their secondary structure includes four short double-helical elements and three loops (D, anti-codon, and T loops). The record is from RNAcentral. Lineage: Eukaryota; Metazoa; Chordata; Actinopteri; Characiformes; Acestrorhamphidae.
AGAGACUUAGGUUAACAUUAAACCAGGAGCCUUCAAAGCUCACAAUGAAGGUUAAAAUCCUCCAGACUCUG